ACGGAAGGCAGCAGUAGGGAAUAUUGCACAAUGGGGGGAACCCUGAUGCAGCAACGCCACGUGUGGGAAGACGCAUUUCGGUGUGUAAACCACUGUCGUGAGGGAAUAAGGCUACUUUCCGGAGUAGUUGAAUGUACCUUGAAAGGAAGCACCGGCAAACUUCGUGCCAGCAGCCGCGGUAAUACGAGGGGUGCAAGCGUUGUUCGGAAUCACUGGGCGUAAAGGGAGCGCAGGCGGAGAUGCAAGCGGACUGUACAAUACCGGGGCCCAACCCCGGACCUGCAGUCCGGACUGCACCUCUUGGAUAGUUCAGGGGCAGGCGGAAUUCCUGGUGUAGCGGUGGAAUGCGUAGAGAUCAGGAAGAACACCGACGGCGAAGGCAGCCUGCUGGGGACUCAUCGACGCUGAGGCUCGAAAGUGCGGGUAGCAAACAGGAUUAGAUACCCUGGUA
RNAcentral lists this ribosomal RNA (451 nucleotides) under uncultured Fibrobacter sp. RNAcentral's name for it is "partial 16S ribosomal RNA". It matches the Rfam family "Bacterial small subunit ribosomal RNA", at positions 341 to 792 of the family's 1533-position model. The record is from RNAcentral. Lineage: Bacteria; Pseudomonadati; Fibrobacterota; Fibrobacteria; Fibrobacterales; Fibrobacteraceae.